GCUACGUAAAGAGAGUGACGAGUCAUAUACAUUUGGCAAGAAACCAUGAAGCUGCCUACAGCCGUCUCGGUGGCAUAAGAACACAAGAAAUUGUGUUAAUUAAUCAAAGCUAUAAAUAACGCUCGCAUGCCUGUGCACUUCUCCAUCACCACCACUGGGUCUUCAGACCAUUAGCUUUAUCUACUCCAGAGCGCAGAAGAACCCGAUCGACACCAUGAGGGUGUUGCUCGUUGCCCUCGCUCUCCUGGCUCUCGCUGCGAGCGCCACCUCCACGCAUACAAGCGGCGGCUGCGGCUGCCAGCCACCGCCGCCGGUUCAUCUACCGCCGCCGGUGCAUCUGCCACCUCCGGUUCACCUGCCACCUCCGGUGCAUCUCCCACCGCCGGUCCACCUGCCGCCGCCGGUCCACCUGCCACCGCCGGUCCAUGUGCCGCCGCCGGUUCAUCUGCCGCCGCCACCAUGCCACUACCCUACUCAACCGCCCCGGCCUCAGCCUCAUCCCCAGCCACACCCAUGCCCGUGCCAACAGCCGCAUCCAAGCCCGUGCCAGCUGCAGGGAACCUGCGGCGUUGGCAGCAC
This 579-nucleotide long non-coding RNA is filed under the name Zea mays. RNAcentral's name for it is "long non-coding RNA (ZMAY_LNC004473)". Lineage: Eukaryota; Viridiplantae; Streptophyta; Magnoliopsida; Poales; Poaceae. The record is from RNAcentral.